This is a small nuclear RNA of Chlorocebus sabaeus (green monkey), 104 nucleotides long. Lineage: Eukaryota; Metazoa; Chordata; Mammalia; Primates; Cercopithecidae. The record is from Ensembl.
GUGCUCUCUUAAGCAGCACAAAUACAAAACUUGGAGUGAAACAAAGAUGAGCAUUGUUCCUGUGCAAGGAUGACGUGCAAAUGUGUAAACCGUUUCAUAUAAAA